AACGUAGGUUCCGAGCGUUAUCCGGAUUUACUGGGCGUAAAGCGCGUUCAGGCGGUUUGGCAAGUCGGGCAUGAAAUCUCUCGGCUCAACCGGGAGAGGUUGUCCGAUACUUCCAGACUUGAGGGCAGUAGAGGGUGGUGGAAUUCCGGGUGUAGUGGUGAAAUGCGUAGAUAUCCGGAGGAACACCAGUGGCGAAAGCGGCCACCUGGACCACAACUGACGCUGAGGCGCGAAAGCUAGGGGAGCAAACAGG
RNAcentral lists this ribosomal RNA (253 nucleotides) under uncultured bacterium. Its description in RNAcentral is "partial 16S ribosomal RNA". It matches the Rfam family "Bacterial small subunit ribosomal RNA", at positions 524 to 776 of the family's 1533-position model. The record is from RNAcentral.